This 45-nucleotide non-coding RNA is filed under the name Trichobilharzia regenti. The record is from RNAcentral. Lineage: Eukaryota; Metazoa; Platyhelminthes; Trematoda; Strigeidida; Schistosomatidae.
AUCCAGAUGACGAGUACCAAAUAGGACGAAAUGCGCAUCCUGGAU